UUAAAAUUUUAUAAAGGUUUCCUAAAGUAAAUUUUAUAAAAAAAUUAAUUAUAUUCAUUUUUUAUGAAGAAGGAAAAUUAAUCUAGCCA
RNAcentral lists this small nucleolar RNA (89 nucleotides) under Leptospira interrogans serovar Bataviae str. HAI135. The record is from RNAcentral. Lineage: Bacteria; Pseudomonadati; Spirochaetota; Leptospiria; Leptospirales; Leptospiraceae.